GUAGACUUGCUCUGUGGUCAGCAAGGCUUUGGAGGGAGGUGCUGUAUGCUUUCAUUGUCAAAGAAGUCAGAGUCUUUCCUUAACUAAUUGUAUCUGUAUAUGCCAUGUUGAUCCUUAUGAAGAUGCUACCCUCUGGACAUACAUGAGGACCUCUGAGAGAGAGGACGAGUACAAGUGGGGAGGAGCAGAGACAAGGAGAGACAGAAUCCCAAGCAGGCUCCGUGCCAUCAGCGACAGCCUGAUGCGGGACUGAACUCACGAAACAUGAGUUCGCGACCUGAGCCGAGACCGAGAGUCAGAUGCUUAACUGACUGUGCCACCCAGGCGCGCCCACAUUAAUUGUGUCUUCAUCCGAGGUGGCAUCUA
This 366-nucleotide long non-coding RNA is filed under the name Felis catus (domestic cat). Its description in RNAcentral is "lncRNA (ENSFCAG00000046768.2)". The record is from RNAcentral. Lineage: Eukaryota; Metazoa; Chordata; Mammalia; Carnivora; Felidae.